GAAUGCGAUCAUACCAGCAUUAAUGCACGGGAUCCCAUCAGAACUCUGCAGUUAAGCGUGCUUGGGCGAGAGUUGUACUAGGAUGGGUGACCUCCAGAAAAGUCCUCGUGUUUUGCCAUUU
This is a ribosomal RNA of Arabidopsis thaliana (thale cress), 121 nucleotides long. The record is from Rfam. Lineage: Eukaryota; Viridiplantae; Streptophyta; Magnoliopsida; Brassicales; Brassicaceae.